CCAAACACAAAAUUUAAAGGGGGGGCGGCGGGUGGGAAUUUUCCCAAAUGGGGGAAACCCUGAACCACGCCUGCCGGGUUAAGAAAGAAGCCCUUGGGGUUAAAAACCAUUUUCGGUGGGAGAGAAGGGGGUGUAGUUAAAUUCCGCUUCUUGUGACUUAAGAACAGAAGAAGCCCGGGUUAAUUCCGUCCCAGCAGCCGUGGUAAUACGGAGGGUGCGAGCUUUAAUCGGAAUUACUGGGCGUAAAGCGUGCGUAGGCGGUUUGAUAAGCCAGAUGUGAAAUCCCGGGGCUUAACCUCGGAACUGCAUUUGGAACUGUUUGACUAGAGUACUGUAGAGGGUGGUGGAAUUUCCAGUGUAGCGGUGAAAUGCGUAGAGAUUGGAAGGAACAUCAGUGGCGAAGGCGGCCACCUGGACAGAUACUGACGCUGAGGCACGAAAGCGUGGGGAGCGAACAGGAUUAGAUACCCUGGUAGUCCACGCCGUAAACGAUGUCAACUAGCUGUUUGUGUUCUUGAAACGUGAGUAGCGUAGCUAACGCGCUGAGUUGACCGCCUGGGGAGUACGGCCGCAAGGUUAAAACUCAAAUGAAUUGACGGGGGCCCGCACAAGCGGUGGAGCAUGUGGUUUAAUUCGAUGCAACGCGAAGAACCUUACCAUCCCUUGACAUCCAGAGAAUUUUCCAGAGAUGGAUUGGUGCCUUCGGGAACUCUGAGACAGGUGCUGCAUGGCUGUCGUCAGCUCGUGUUGUGAAAUGUUGGGUUAAGUCCCGCAACGAGCGCAACCCUUAUCCUUGUUUGCCAGCACUUCGGGUGGGAACUCCAGGGAGACUGCCGGUGAUAAACCGGAGGAAGGUGGGGACGACGUCAAGUCAUCAUGGCCCUUACGAGUAGGGCUACACACGUGCUACAAUGGCGCAUACAGAGGGCGGCCAACUUGCGAGAGUGAGCGAAUCCCAAAAAGUGCGUCGUAGUCCGGAUCGGAGUCUGCAACUCGACUCCGUGAAGUCGGAAUCGCUAGUAAUCGUGGAUCAGAAUGCCACGGUGAAUACGUUCCCGGGCCUUGUACACACCGCCCGUCACACCAUGGGAGUGGGCUGCAAAAGAAGUAGGUAGUUUAACCUUCGGGAGGACGCUUACCACUUUGUGGUUCAUGACUGGGGUGAAGUCGUAACAAGGUAACCGUA
RNAcentral lists this ribosomal RNA (1186 nucleotides) under uncultured bacterium. RNAcentral describes it as "bacterial SSU rRNA". It matches the Rfam family "Bacterial small subunit ribosomal RNA", at positions 324 to 1504 of the family's 1533-position model. The record is from RNAcentral.